RNAcentral lists this long non-coding RNA (12406 nucleotides) under Sorghum bicolor (sorghum). RNAcentral describes it as "long non-coding RNA (SBIC_LNC006159)". Lineage: Eukaryota; Viridiplantae; Streptophyta; Magnoliopsida; Poales; Poaceae. The record is from RNAcentral.
CAGCUAUGGUUGUGAUAUCUCGCUUUGCUGAAAAAUCAUAGGUAAAAAUAUUGUUUGCUGAUUUAUUGAGAGAGAAAAACAUUGAUCAUUCGUUGAAAUAGUUGAAAUAGUAUGACUCAUAAGACAAGCAAAUAAGAAAGAAGCCUUACCAUUAGGUCUGAAAACAGUACGGAUAUUUUCCGAUCUGUUGACACCGUUUUUUGGGCACGUGUCCAGGAUGGCAGGAUAAAGUGGCAGUAUGCUGUUUACAGGAUGAAUUGCCGAUGAGGAUGGUUGCCGAUGAAGGAGAGGUCGGAUGUGACUAAGUAUGCAGGCAGUGAUGUGUUUAUGCCGAUGGCUAUAAUUUGGGAGUCUGCCGAUGACUAUGGCAAAGAGUCUGCCGAUGAUAUGGAGGAGGGAUCCGGAAACUGAUGAUCGGUUUAUGGAAGAAUUUUAGUUCGUCACGGGAGAUAGCUUUGUUAUUUCCUUAUUUAUUUAAGUCGUUUUGUAUACGGAUUCCGUGUAAUUUGGAAUUCGAAUUCUAGUCGUGUUUAAUUGUAGCUCUUUGAGCAGGGUAUAAAUAUGAACCCUAGGGCCUUGUAAUGAUCUAUCUAUCAAUCAAACAAACACACGUUUUACUCAUAUUCUAGCAUCUACUUUUCGACGACUUCGUCAUACUUUUUUCUUUUUACUACGAGUUCUUAGGAAUUCUUCGACUUAAGCUCGGCGUAUUCUCGAGUUCCGCGUGAGUACCUCUUAGCCGUGACAUCCGGGCGCAUCGCUGUUGUCAGGACUAAAGUAUUCGAGUUACUACCUUUGCUGAUAGUAAGGUCAAAUCGGCUGGCACGCCUUAACGUUUGAAUCGGGUAUUAGCCCUUUGUGUUUGCAGAUCGAUUUUGCAUCAACACAUAUUUUGGCACGCCCAGUGGGACAAGAUUCAAGAUCAAGAUCAACAUGUCGAUCUCUGACUUUGAUCAGGAGAACGUCAUCCCCGUGACAGAAGCCAAUCUCAAGGAUGAGCAGAAGCAAGCUAUUGCCCAAGCUAUGGAGGAAUACAAGCUGCAAUGCCUGAAGUCCUUCAGCAUAAAUAGGAGUGGCGAGGUGAUCCAGAAGGAUGCGCUGCCGGCACCACGGCAGGUUACUUUCGAAGCCAAUCCGGGCAAGCUUCAAGAUAUGGUUGACAGUGCUAUCAACCGUGCUUUGAUCAACCAAGCUGGCGUACUGUCUAAUACGGUUUUCAAUGCCGUAGCAAGAACUUUCAAGGAAGGACAAAUCCCUCCAGAUUAUGUGGGCCCUACUCACCAUCAACCAACAGCACCAGAGGUUACGGCUCCAUCGGCUGCUUUGACGGCCGCAAGUGCACAAUCUGCCGUCCCGCCAAGCACAUCGGGAGCUACUGGUGCACUGUCUGUGCCGAUGACAACCAACCCACAGACUUCAGGUGGGCAGAAUAAACUGACAACAGAUAUGUUGGCAUCGGCAAUGUCAGGGUUGACUCUUCCUCCCAACUGGUGGGGUUAUGGUAUGCCCCCAGAAUUGACGCCGGGUACAUCACAGAUAACCGACAUGAGAGGCAAGACUCCUAUGACAUCGGCGCUUCCCAAUGCGCCGUUGAACCAGAGUCCUCGGUAUACUACAACUACUACUGCAAGGCCUCACACUAGGAAUCCUCAAGAUUCAAUGUUCCAGAUGCCUAAUACAUCGGCAGAUUCAAUGCUGAUGCAACAGAGGUCUAUGGCCCAGUCGGGGUAUGUCAAUUCAAUGAUGGUACCCAAUUACCAAUCAUCGGCAGCGCCUAUGCCGAUGAACGCUAAUAACGGAUGGCUUGGGCAGCAAGUCUUUCCACAAUCGCCCCAACAGAGUUACCAGGCUACAGGGUUCCAGCAAGGACAGAUAUAUCCCGGAUUCCAGAGUCAGGGGAUCCCCAAUCAGCCAAUGAAUAUCGGACAGCAACUCGGGGGGCAGCAAAUCGGUGGACAGCAGUUUGGUGGUCCGCAGAUUGGAGGUCAGAUGAUCAACCCAAUGUUCCGUGCAGAUCAUGCCCCAAACAGACACGUGGAGGCUCGCCACCAGGCGCCAGAUCCGCAGCCACCACAUCGGCAGGAUGCCGAUGCAUAUUGGGCCGAUAAGAUCGCUGAAGUAAUGAGGGAACAAUUUGGGAUAAAGCCCAAAGUCAACACUUACUCUUAUCGGACACCGUAUCCUCCCGCAUAUGAUUUGAUCCCGCUUCCACAUCGGUACAAGGUACCAGACUUUACCAAAUUUUCCGGGCAAGACGACACGUCAACCAUGGAGCAUGUCAACAGGUUCAUCAUUCAAUGCGGAGAAGCUGGUAACAGGGACAAAUUAAGGGUUCGUCUAUUUUCAUCGUCAUUGUCUGGGUCGGCCUUUACUUGGUUCAUAUCAUUACCUCCUAAUUCAGUGAUUACUUGGGCCGAUCUAGAGAAAUAAUUCCACAAGUACUUCUUUUCUGGAGUUCAUGAGAAGAAGAUCACCGAUUUGGUCAAAUUGAGACAUCGCAAUGAUGAAUCGGUUGAAGGUUUCGUGCAGAGGAUACGGGAAGUUAAGAAUAAAUGCUAUAGUCUGAUUCUAGAUGAUCGGCAGCUAGCCGAUUUGGCUUUCCAGGGUUUGUUGCCACACAUCAGGGAUAAGUAUGCCUCUCAGGAGUUUGAAAGCUUAAGUCAUUUAGUACAGAGGAUUUCUGAUCAAGACAUCAGGCCUUUUGAGCCCAAAAGAGCAUGGAACAAGAAGGUGUUGUUUGUUGAUGAAGCAACAAGCUCAGAUUCUGAUGAAGAACCAGUAAUCGGCUUGGCAGAGUGGGUGAAGAACAAGAAGCCGAUGUCUUGUCCUUUUGGGCAAAAGGAACCAGAAAAGUUCGCUUUCGACACUGCUAAGGCCGAUAAGAUAUUUGAUUUUCUACUCCAGGAAGGUCAGAUCAAGUUGUCUCCUAAUCACGUGAUCCCAUCGGCAGAGGAGUUGAGGAAGAUGAAAUAUUGCAAGUGGCAUAAUGCAACUUCUCAUGACACCAAUGACUGCAAAGUUUUCAGACAACAGUUGCAAUCGGCCAUAGAGUCUGGGAGAAUAAAAUUUGACAGUUCCAAGACUCAGAAGCCGAUGAAGAUAGACCAACAUCCUUUCCCGACAAACAUGUUGGAUGCAAAGGGGAAGGCCAAGGUUUUAACAUCGGAAGCAGCUGAGAACAGUGCAUCGGUAGAUCCUCAACAUCAGAUUACUACUACCGAUGCAAAGAGUAAAGGCUUGGUCCAGGAAGGGACUAAUUCGGGUAGGCCUCCUCGGUCCGGCAUCGUUAUAACUCAUAGAAGGCCUCGAGAGAAUUGGCAGCAACGGGAAGAUCGAUAUCGGCGCCAACAAGAGGAUUACCGACGGGAGGAAGAAAGACGCCGACAGGAGUGGAAUCGGCAUAGAGAUCAUUGGAAUUGUCCGUUCUUCAUCCAUUGUUGGGAGGAAAAUAUCAAGCUUCCCACUGUCAGAGACUGCCCUGAGUGCAACGGUUAUGAUCGGUACGACAGGACCAAUCGGCGUUAUCAUGAUGAUGAUCGGCGAUUUAAUGGGCCAAUCAGAGGAAGGGCGUCAGUUCAUGAUCGGCUGGGGGGCAGGCUCAGCGUGCACGAUAGGCUUGGCAAUCGUGUCCAAUAUUUUCCCAGAAACCAGGAAGAACUCGAGGAGAUGGCUAAUGCAUGAGUUCCCGAUGAGUUCAUAUUUUGCAGGGAUGCUAACACGCAUCGGAUGGAGUCAAGGGAGAAUCGACGCCUAGCAGCAAGGCAGAAACCGCUUCCUCCAUGGUGUCCUGAAGGGUUAACCAAGACACAGAAGAGGAGAUUGCAACGAGAAAGGCAAGAGGAGUUAAGCAAAGGCGAGGACUCUAGAAGUCAGCAGCCGUCAGACACUAAGAGGGAAGGUCCAUCGGCAGGGGUUAACAUGGUCUUUAUGUUGCCGAUGGAGUUUCUUGCACCAUCCAAUAAUGAUGAGUUAGAAUUUUCCGAUCAGAUAGCUCAGCUGGCUCUGGAUCCCAUGACAGCUAUCUUUGAGAAACCUGCCGAUGAUGAAAGGCAGCAUCUCAAAGCUCUGUUCGUCAAAGGAAGGGUUGAUGGGCAGCCGAUGACCAAGAUCCUAGUUGAUGGUGGCGCUGCUAUUAAUAUUAUGCCCUAUGCAGUAUAUCGGAAGCUUGGGAAAGGGGAUCAGGAUUUGACCAAGACCGAUAUGAUGCUCAAAGACUUUGAAGGAAACGUGUCUCCAGUCAAGGGGGCAAUAUGUGUGGAGUUGACCAUCGGCAGCAAAACCUUGCCGACAACUUUCUUCGUGAUUAGUGGAAAGGGUGCUUACAACUUAUUGUUGGGAAGAGAUUGGAUUCAUGCCAAUUGUUGCAUCCCGUCUACAAUGCACCAAUGCUUGGUUCAGUGGGUAGGUGACAAGAUUGAGAUUGUCCCAGGGGAUUCUUCUUAUGUUAUUGCAUCGGCAGAGGCGGAUACCUAUGAGAGGACUAGGUGCAUUUCAGGGGAAGUUUGGGAGAAGAAUUUUCUCAAAGUUGCCGAUUACGAGAUUCCACCGAUCCAAGCAGUCGGUUCUGACGACGGUUUUUAAUGGAUAGAUUCGCCGAUGAUGGAAAAUUAGGCCAGGGAUUCACAUCGGCCGAUGAUUUGGUAGAGGUAGAUAUAGGUAGUGGUGAUAAGCCUAGACCUACUUUUAUUAGUGCUAAAUUAGAUCCUGGGUGUAAGCAACAAUUAACUAAUUUGUUAAAGGAAUAUAAAGAUUGCUUUGCUUGGGAUUAUACUGAGAUGCCUGGUUUAGACCGAUCAAUUGUUGAACAUCGGUUACCCAUCAAGUCUGGAUUUCGGCCACAUCAGCAACCAGCUCGCCGAUGUAAUCCUAACAUUCUACCUGAUAUUAAGGCCGAAAUCACCAAACUCAUUGAAGCUAAGUUUAUUUGACAGUGUCGGUAUGCCGAAUGGAUUUCCAAUGUUGUUCCGGUUUACAAGAAAAACGGGAAGCUUCGGGUGUGCAUUGAUUUCAGGAAUCUCAAUAAAGCUACGCCGAUGGAUGGAUACCCGAUGCCUGUUGCCGAUCUGCUGGUUGACGCUGCGGCUGGUCAUCGGAUCAUUAGCUUUAUGGAUGGUAAUGCGGGAUACAAUCAAAUAUUCAUGGCAGAGGAAGAUAUUCCAAAAACCGCAUUCAGGUGUCCUGGACAUGUUGGGUUAUUUGAAUGGAUAGUCAUGACCUUUGGGUUGAAGAAUGCUGGUGCUACUUAUCAAAGGGCCAUGAAUUUUAUAUUUCAUGAGUUCAUCGGCAAGCUGGUAGAGAUCUAUAUUGAUGAUGUGGUGGUUAAAUCUGAGGAUUUCUCAAAACAUCUUGCCGACUUACAAAAAGUGUUAGAGUGCACAAGGAAGCAUGGAUUGAAGAUGGAUCCCAAUAAGUGUGCAUUUGGUGUAUCGGUAGGGCAGUUUCUUGGUUUCAUGGUACAUCAAAGGGGGAUUGAAAUUAGUCGAAGAUCUAUUGAUGCCAUCAAUAAGAUAGUGGCCCCUACCAACAAGACUGAGCUCCAGUCCUUGAUCGGCAAGGUAAAUUUUAUCAGGAGAUUUAUAUCCAAUCUGUCUGGUAAGAUUCGUGCUUUCAGUCCUCUUCUUAAAUUGAAAGCCGAUCAAGAAUUUAUUUGGGGAAAAGAGCAGCAGUUGGCUUUGGAUGAAAUCAAGAAAUAUCUAGUGAAUCCUCCAGUUCUAGUUCCACCUCAACAAGGAAAGCCCUUCAGAUUGUAUUUGUCUACCGAUGGGACGGUUAUCGGUUCAGCUUUGGUCCAAGAAUUUGAAGGGAAAGAGAGGGUAAUUUACUACCUAAGUAGGAGGUUGAUUGAUGCUGAAACUAGGUAUUCGGCCAUCGAGAAACUAUGCCUAUGCUUGUAUUUUUCGUGUAUCAAACUGAGGCAUUACCUGCUAUCGGCCGAAUGCACUGUUGUUUGCAAGGAUGACGUGGUCCGGUACAUGCUAUCCAUGCCGAUUAUGAGUGGCAGGAUUGGUAAAUGGAUUUUAGCGCUGUCGGAGUUCGAUCUGCGUUACGAAUCGGCCAAGGCAGUCAAAGGGCAGAUCAUGGCCGAUUUUGUGACUCAGCAUUGCGGUGUAGUGGAAGCCUUGGAAAUUGUACCCUGGACGCUUUUCUUUGAUGGAUCUACCUGUGACCGGGGGUCAGGAAUCGGCAUUGUAUUAGUUUCCCCUAAGGGGAGGAAGUAUGAGUUUUCCUUGCCGAUUGUUGCUACAUCAACGAAUAAUCAGGCUGAGUAUCAGGCUCUGAUCAAGGGAUUGGAGUUGUUAAGAGAAGUUCGUGCUGAUGCUGUUGAAAUCUUCGGGGAUUCUAUGUUAGUCAUAAAUCAAUUGGCCGGGAGCUAUGAAUGCCGAAGUGAAGUUCUCAUAACUUAUUUCGAGAAAAGCAUGCAACUGUUAAAGGAAUUCAAGGAUUUCCGAUUAGAGCAUGUUUCCCGAUUGCAUAAUGAAGACGCCAAUCGGUUAGCUCAGCAUGCCUCAGGAUAUCAGCCUAUGAUUAAUGCAAUAUCGGCAAUCGGUGCUGAUGAUUGGAGGAAAGAAAUUAUAUCUAAAAGAUCCAUCCAAAAAGGUUGAAAGACGAGUUCGAUUUCAAGCAACCAAAUAUGUGCUCCUCGAAGAUGAAUUGUAUUAUCGAACUAUUGAUGGGAUUCUUCUCCGAUGCUUGAGUGAUGAUGAAGCUAGAAGUUUGAUGGGAGAAAUCCAUGAAGGAGCAUGUGGGGCACAUCAGUCAGCUUUUAAGAUGAAGUGGAUGAUUCGAAGGAAUGGAUACUUCUGGCCGACUAUACUUGAAGAUUGCUUUAAAUAUUUCAAGGGGUGUCAAGGUUGUCAAAAGUUUGGUAAUAUUCAAAGAGCACCCGCAUCGGCUAUGAAUCCUAUCAUAAAGCCUUGGCCGUUCCGGGGAUGGGCUAUCGAUCUGAUCGGCCAGAUUUAUCCACCAUCUAGUAAGGGGCAUAAGUUUAUUUUGGUUGCUACUGAUUAUUUCACUAAAUGGGUUGAAGAUAUUCCUUUGAAGAAGGUCACCUCGGCCAAUAUGAUUGAUUUUGUGAAGGAACACAUUAUUUACCGAUUUGGGAUUCCUCAGACGAUUACUACCGAUCAGGGCACUAUGUUCACAUCGGGGGAGUUUGAUGAAUUCGCAAUCGGUAUGGGGAUUAAAGUGUUGAAUUCUUCUCCUUAUUAUGCUCAAGCCAAUGGGCAGGCCGAGGCAUCUAACAAAGGAAUUAUCAAGCUUAUUAAACGAAAGAUUGAAGAAAAUCCUAAGCGGUGGCAUACAUUGUUAAAUGAAGCACUGUGGUCUUAUCGGAUGGCUUGUCAUGGAUCAACCAAGGUGUCACCCUAUCAAUUGGUGUAUGGACAUGAUGCAGUGUUGCCUUGGGAGAAUAAGGCCGGAUCCAGGCGAUUAUCUUUUCAAGAUCAGUUAACCGCCGAUGAUUAUGCCACUUUGAUGACCGAUGAGUUGGAUGAUCUAGCAGGGCAUCGGUUAAAAGCUUUAAUGAGUAUAGAAGAAAAUAAGAAGAGAGUUGCUAGAUGGUAUGAUAAGAAAGUGAAGACUUAGGAGUUUGCCGAUGGGGAUUUGGUAUGGAAAUUAAUUUUGCUAGUCGGGACUAAAAGUGCGAAGUUUGGAAAGUGGUCUCCUAAUUGGGAAGGUCCUUAUCGGAUAAGUCGAUCGGCUCCUGGUAAUGUCUAUAUUCUAGAAACUCUUGAAGGAGUUGAAUUUCCCAGAGCAUUAAAUGGCAAAUAUUUAAAGAAGUACUACCCCAGCAUAUGGGUCGAUGCAUAAAAGUUUAAAUGCCGAUAACACUCCUAUCGGCUGGAUUAAAGUGUAUCUGGGGAUGGACUUAAUGUUUCAAAAGAUGCCGAUAACAGUCCUAUCGGCUAGACUAAGACAUUAAGAAAGCUGAAAUGCAGAAGAGCAAAGGUGUGUUGCCGAUGAGAGCUUCAGAUGUUCAGCAGCGCUUGGAUUGCCGAUAUGGCACGUAGCCGGAUCUGAUUGGCUGUUUCUAUCUCUUUGGUAUCAUCAUCGGCAGAACCUUCUAUCGGCUUCAGCUUCUUCUUCAACUGCAGCGCUUUGCGACCGUGGGCAUUUCGUUCUUGUUCGAGGUGCUUGAUGGUUUCCGGUAGUUGGCUCUCUUCUUGCUGGGCCUGAGACAGGGCAUCCUCUACUUGCUUGAGUUCGGCCAGCAGGGCUUCUCUUUUUGCCGAUAGAUCAGAGACUUUCUGCUUCAGUGCAUCACCUGAGGACUUUAAGGUGCCGAUGUUCUUAUGCUUCUCAUCGGCUAAGAGUUUUUCUUUCAUCAUCUCCUCAGAAAGCUGGGUUUGAGCAGCUCUAUCGGCAAGGCGUCGAGUGGCUCUCUGGUACUGCAGCUGGCGGCUUUCUAGGUGUGCGGCCUGGAAGAGGGUUUCUUCAGCGUCGGCAGGAAUUUGGCCUCUAAGGGUCUUGAACAGGGCCUUGGCUGGGUCAGAAUCGUUGACCAGUUGAGCUGUGUCUUGAUGAAGUAUGGCCGAUAGCUCUUCCAGCUUAGCCCUGGUUUCUGCCGAUACAGUCCCAACUGCCCGAGAAGAGCUUGCUUCCUCACCUUCUUCUUCGGAGAUAUCAAUGGCGAAGGAGAAUAGGCUGUCAGGAGAAUCUUGUUCCUGAAAGUAAGGAUGAACUAAGUCAUUUUUAUGAUCAAAGCUUCGGCAAACAAUACUGGUGGAAAAUUGGAUGCCUUACUUGCUUCAAGGCGAUCUCUUGCCUUUGGCUGGGAGGUACUGAUUGAGCUACAGGUUGAUCGGCCAGGGUUGCCGAUGGAACGACGUCAGCUGAAAGUUAACAGAAGGGGUUAUAAGAUCGAAAAGGGAAAGUUCAUCGGCAGUAAUAGUAUUAUCAAAAUAUGCUACCCGGGGGAGGAACAGUGAUUGUCUGAAUCGGGGGAACUGCCGAUGGUGCGAUUGGACCUGCCGGGCCAAUUGUUUGUUCACCCGUAUCGGCUGAUGUACCUUCUGUUUGGGGUUCUUCCUGCUGGGGUUCAUCUACUGCUGGUGCUUCUUGCAGAUGAGGGGGAGAUGGUGCUUGCUGCGUCUGGACUUCUAGAGAAGAAGGGGAAGACUCCACCGGAAUUGGAGACACCGAAGGGGGAGGAGGAGUUGCCACCUUCUGGCGCUUUGUUCCAGCCUUAGCACCUUUUGUGCCCUUCCUCUUUGGUUGGCUAGACUGGGGGGCAUCGGCACCUUGGCGUUUGGCUUUUGCCGAUGCACCGGUUUGCUGCAGCAACAGAAAGGAGUUUAUAAGCACAGAUAUAGCCGAUAUAAAGAUGGUCAGUGUAAAAGAAAAAUAUUUGACAAAUUGCCUUGAAAGCCUGCGCCAGAGUGGAAGCAGCUACCGUAGGUGAUGUCUGAGUUCUCUUGGUGGUGACUUUCCUGAGGCGCACACCCCGAUGCACGACGGAAGCCAGAGUGGGAGCAUUGUGGCCGAUUGAGGAGAUCGGGCCUGAUGGAAACAAGUCGAUCGGCUUGCCACUCCUGCUAACCGAUGGGGGGAUGUUGUCAACCUGCAAAAGGAAUACAAGGGUAAGCUACCGAUGGAAAUAGUAUUGAAAAAAUGAAACAUCGGUUUGAAAUACUUACGGUGUCGUCGGGGACUUCGUAUUCGGGGUCGAUCAUGCCGCGGUAUGAGAGGGCCGAUCUGCAGAAUAGAUGCUCUUUCCAUUCUGCCCACCAUAGCUUGUAUGCCUGAGUAAUAAAGACAGCUGGAACCCAUUCUGACAGAUCUACAUCUGUAUCGGCAUUUGGUGGUAGUUGUGCUACUCGAAUCCACUCAAGAAAGUUGGUGAUGGGUUCUCUGGGUUUUAUCACAUCGGCAUAAGGAAGUGCAAUCGGCAACUGGCCGAAAGCUAGUUGGUGAGCUAAUGCCGAUGGAUUAUAAAAUUCAUAGGUUUGGGGAGAGGUUUUUGUGCUACCAAAGAAAUUCACUGGUAUGACUCUGGGAGUCACAAUUGCCAUCAUCACCUCAUUAUCCCUGUCAAGAGCUUCAUCAAAUGGAUUGAAGGUUAGAGGGAGCAUACUGUCUGGGUCAUCAUAAGCCAACCAUGGUCGUUCAUCUCUGGCCAAUCCCUCAUACAGAGUCUGGAAGAAUCGGCCGAUCUGAUCUGGAUUACUCCCUGAACCAGGUAAAACUAUGGCAGCUUCGCCAAAGUUCAGGGGGGCACGUGUUGCCGAUUCUUCUUCGCCCAACACAUGAUUUUCGGCUAUAUCUCUUGGGAAAUGCUGUGUGAACAAGUUGAAGUCAAGGCGCUUAUGCAAAUGCAGAUUGAGCCACAUGUUAAUAAACCACUAGGGGCCUCCCAAGUUGCCGAUAGACUGACCAAGCAGGAGUUUCUGGGCUACUUGAUGAAGAAGAUGGUAAGCAGCGCCAAGCAAGUAUCGGCCGAGAGGAAAUUGACCACCGUUAGCCAGUCUCUCUGCUGCCGAUAGAUAGACAGAAGUCGGUCCUGCCGAUCGACCGCAGAAUACAAAUUUGUCCAGCCACAUGUUCAGAAAGGUGGUUUGUUCCUUUAUGGUGACAGGCCCCUUCCCACGGUACUUCUGAAUGUACCCUGACCAACCGCCGAUAGUGCGAGUCUCCACUUUGGCACUAGGAGCGGUAUCAAAGAAAUGGGUGCUAUCGGCAGAGGACACGUCCAGACCAGUGAGCAUAGCUACAUCGGCAAGAGUGGGAGAAACAGGACCGUGGCCAAAAACAAAGGCAUUAAGGGUAUCUGACCAAAAAUGAGACGCAGCUAUCAACAGCGACUCGUUCCUGUGCAUAUCGGCAAUAGAUAGCCUGAUGCAUUGGGCUAGCUUCCUUUCACCCCACUGGACUUCACAAGAAUUGCUGACCCUCAAGAACCAGUCUUUCCACCCCACGGUAGGGCUGGGCCAAGAGCGGAAGGUGUCUUUCCACAGAUCUAAAGAAAAAUUUUCAGCUCUAAAGGGGAUCCUGUUGGUUUCUGCGUUGAUAAGGUCGGUUGGAUCUGGGUCCCCUAGAGGGCCGAGGCAUUGAAUGUGUGGUUGAUCGGUGGGGAUGACAAUUUUGUUGGACAAUUCCUAGUGAUUUUGGGUGUAAAGGAAACACAAAAGAAAGAGGAAAAGGAAGAUAUUCAGUAAAAUGAAUUACGGAUGAACAGGGAUACGAGAAAAAUAUACGGGAGACGAGAUGGAGAUCUGACCUCAGGAACGACGAAGCCAAUGGCCAUCUUGCUGCGAAGAAAGUGUUUGAAGGCACCGGGGUUGAUGAGGAGGAGUGCUUGUUGGAGGUCUUGGGAGUUUCGGAUGGCGCCGCCGCUGGAGAAGUAAAGAUUGGUGGUGGAUUGAUGUGAUGGGGAAAGAGUACCCGAGAAGGAACUAUUUAUAGGGCAAAAUGGGCAAGGGCAAAUCUGACUUAUCUCUUUGCCGCCUCCGAGAAAUCCGAGGGUACUCAGGUAGAUAUGGUAACUGUUCGCACGGUAAUCAAGGGAUUGCGCAGGUGAUUUGACGGGAAGCGGUCAUUAUCUGAAGAUAUUUUACUGUGCGAGAUCUCCUGGUCGGUCCAUCGGCAGCGUUCUAUAACGGUCAUAUUGCCGAUGGGCGAAUAAAGGGGAGGUAGCCGUUUGUACGAACGUCCUGGUCAGUAUAUCGGCAGAUCUUUGUAACGGUAUUAUUGCCAAUGUACGGUUGAGAGAGAAAUGCCCGUUUAGGAAGUUGGGGAUUUCGAAGGAUCUGCGGGAGAAUAGGAUCAGAGUUGUUCAGAUUGAGGUUGUCGGUUACCAGAUUAGGAGCAUUAAUUGCGGGAAGAAGGCAUCAUUACUGCAGAGAAUUUCGGAGUAUUAAUAGUUUUAUACUCCGAAAUUGGGGGGCAUGUGUUGACACCGUUUUUUGGGCACGUGUCCAGGAUGGCAGGAUAAAGUGGCAGUAUGCUGUUUACAGGAUGAAUUGCCGAUGAGGAUGGUUGCCGAUGAGGGAGAGGUCGGAUGUGACUAAGUAUGCAGGCAGUGAUGUGUUUAUGCCGAUGGCUAUAAUUUGGGAGUCUGCCGAUGACUAUGGCAAGGAGUCUGCCGAUGAUAUGGAGGAGGGAUUCGGAAACUGAUGAUCGGUUUAUGGAAGAAUUUUAGUUCGUCACGGGAGAUAGCUUUGUUAUUUCCUUAUUUAUUUAAGUCGUUUUGUAUACGGAUUCCGUGUAAUUUGGAAUUCGAAUUCUAGUCGUGUUUAAUUGUAGCUCUUUGAGCAGGGUAUAAAAAUGAACCCUAGGGCCUUGUAAUGAUCUAUCUAUCAAUCAAACAAACACACGUUUUACUCAUAUUCUAGCAUCUACUUUUCGACGACUUCGUCAUACUUUUUUCUUUUUACUACGAGUUCUUAGGAAUUCGUCGACUUAAGCUCGG